RNAcentral lists this long non-coding RNA (3659 nucleotides) under Gadus morhua (Atlantic cod). Its description in RNAcentral is "lncRNA (ENSGMOG00000023692.1)". The record is from RNAcentral. Lineage: Eukaryota; Metazoa; Chordata; Actinopteri; Gadiformes; Gadidae.
GCACUGGAUUUAUCCGUCUCGCGCAUGCGCAGUUCGAGUACCUAUACCAACAAGGUCACAUGUGACCCUCGUGACACCGGAUUGGCUAUAUAGCCCGGUGUCGACAGAGGAUCUGUUCCUUUCAUCUUCUCGCAAAGACGCAUGUUGUAGUACCGCUUGCGGAUAGCGUAUUCGCUUUUUGAAAAGGAUCGCGCUCCAGACUGUGUGCAGCCUCGCGACCAAGGGUCGGAGCAACGGGUGAACUCGUCCUCCAGGGGCUGUUGGUCUGUACAGCGCUGAAGUAGAAGCUUCCAAGGUUUUGUUUAGUUUCAGUCACUUACCGGUGAAGGCAGCGCUCUCGCGUCCUCUCCCGGCAACACUGCUGGGGUUAUUUUCACUACUGGGAUUAAUUUCGCUACUGAUAGCUCCCUUAUAGAAACAGCUCGGCUGUGUUCUGGGUUACCAAAUUUAUUUGGUAAAAGGUUUUUUCCAGUCAGUCACUUACCGGUGAAGGCAGCGUUCUCGCGUCCUCUCCCUGUAACACUGUUGUUUAUUUCUUUCGGUCACUUACCGGUGAAGGCAGCGCUCUCGCGCCCUCUCCCUGUAACACUGUUGGGGUUUAUUUUUUAGUCACUUACCGGUGAAGGCAGCGCUCUCGCGCCCUCUCCCUGUAACACUUGUUUGUUUCUUUUCAGUCACUUACCGGUGAAGACAGCGCUCUCGCGUCCUCUCCCGAGAACACUGCUGUAUAUUUGAGUGUGUAAUUAUUUUUCCAGUCACUUGCUGGUGAAGACUGCGCUCUCGCGUCCUCUCCCGGUAACACUUUCUUGGCUCUUCUUGAAUUAGUAGCUCUCUGGUGAAGGCAGUGCUCCCUCUCCCAGUGUUCUGCUGAUGGCUCAUGUGUGUGGCGCCUGUGUGGCCCUCCUUGAGCCUGACGAUGGCCAUGAUCGCUGCCCCUCUUGCCUCGGCUUCGAGCAUUUGAGGGAGGGCCUUACCGAGAGGGCCUGUAUGAACUGCGGCUCCAUGCCCUUGGCACUCAGGCUGGCUAGGCUCGCAGCGGUGGAACAUCCGGCAGCUGUCGACCUACCAUCAAUGGCGCCACUUCCUCCUGCUCAGCCCGGCCAUUCUUGGCGUCGGGGUAGAGCAGGCCCCCCCCCCAGGAAAAGGGCUAGGGACGAGCUAGCAUCCAAGGUGGAUCGCUUGUCGUCCGAUAUGGAGAGGAUACAGGAACUCCUCCUGACCCUGCAACCUGGGGCAGGUGGCGCGGUGGCUGACAUCCGGCCUGACCCUUCCUUGGGGGAUGUGCCGGGGACGGACGAUGUCCUGUCGCUGGCGGCAUCAGCCAACCUCUUCAGUGAGGGUGUCACGGGGGAGGAAUCCUCAAACGCUUUUGGGGAGGCCUCCCGCUCCUCUACUCAGAGCUCUGGGCACAGCACAGAGGGUAACCCCAUCGGGGCCGUCAUCCGUACGGCCCUGGCUCGCCUGGGGCUCGAUGCUCCUCAGGCAGACUUGGCCCAGCCUAGCGCCUUUUUCAGGCGCAGCCCUGCCACAGCCCCUUUCUCUGUCCCUCCUUCGGAGGAGUAUUUAAAGGAGCUACACCUCUGCUGGAAGGACGCCAAGGCUCUCCCCCGUCCUUCUUCCAGUGCUCGGGCCUUGGCUGCCAUGCGGGAUCCAGCGCAGUAUGGUUUGGGUUGCAUGCCACCCGUUGAGCCCGCCAUUGCCUCCCUCAUUCUAACCCCCGAUCAGGCCUUGCGGCCGGAUGCCAGGUGUCCUCGGCCCCAGUGCAGGGUCACAGACGACCUGCUUUCGAAGGCCUAUGACGCAGCAGCACGUAUGGGGCGGAUUGGCAACUCCCUCUCCCACCUAAUGCUGGCGCUCUCGACCUCGCUGCAACAAGCUGCAGUUGAGCCGUCUACACAGGACCUGAGCGACGCGUCCCUACAGGCCUUUGCCCUCAUGUCCAGGGAAUUGGGGCGUGUUAUGUCCACCCUGGUCCAGACUCGCCGCCAGGUUUGGUUGGCUCAGUCGCCCCUGACGGAGGCGUGCAGGAAGGCCCUUAGAGCCGUGCCAGUGGUACCGGGGGAGCUGUUUGGGUCAGCUGCCCUGGAGACGCUGGAGCGAGCUGCCCAAGCUAGGCAAACCAACCUGCAGCUGUCAGGUCUUCACAGGAGUGUCUCCGCUCCUGGCAGGCCUAGAGCCCCCCCGGCUGCCCCCCGGGGCCGCUACCAGCCACCACGCUCUUACCCAGCAAGAGAGGAGGGCCUACGCAGGUCUCGGCGGUCCGCCCAGCAGCCCGCUGAUAGCUUUCGCGCCCCCGCCCGCCCAUCGCCCGCCGGGGGAGCUGUUUGGGUCAGCUGCCCUGGAGACGCUGGAGCGAGCUGCCCAAGCUAGGCAAACCAACCUGCAGCUGUCAGGUCUUCACAGGAGUGUCUCCGCUCCUGGCAGGCCUAGAGCCCCCCCGGCUGCCCCCCGGGGCCGCUACCAGCCACCACGCUCUUACCCAGCAAGAGAGGAGGGCAUACGCAGGUCUCGGCGGUCCGCCCAGCAGCCCGCUGAUAGCUUUCGCGCCCCCGCCCGCCCAUCGCCCGGGCAGCCUCGGGCCGCGGAGCCUCACCGGUACCCCUCCAGAGCCGACAGAGGCCGGGGGGCCAGGCGCUAGGACCACGGGGCCGGUCGUCGGCUGUUUUUCCCAGCAGCAGAUCAGCUAUUGGGCUGCCUGUACUAUAGACCCCUGGGUGGUUUCCACCUUAACCCGGGGGUACGAAUUACAGUUCCGACGCCGGCCCCAGGCCUUUGGCCGGGUCAGGAUGACAGUCGUCCGCGCCCCGACGAAGGCCGCAGCUCUGGCCCAGGAGCUAUCCGCCCUCCUGGCCAAGGGUGCGAUCGAGCCAGUGGACCCUCAGUUACAACCCGGGGGGUUCUACUCGGCGUACUUUCUGGUCACCAAGAAAGACGGCGGAUUCAGGCCCAUUCUAGACCUAAGGGGCCUGAACACGUUUUUAAAAAUUUUACCAUUUCACAUGCUCACCUCGGCGGACACCCUGAGGGUAGUUGCCAGGGGGGAGUGGUUCACGACUAUAGACCUAAAGGACGCCUAUUUUCAUGUGCCGGUUGCGGCACACCACAGGCGGUUCCUGAGGUUUGCCUAUCGGGGCAGGCAUUACCAAUUCAGGGUACUUCCCUUCGGGCUUUCCCUCUCCCCGAGGGUUUUCACCAGGGUUGUGGCGGCAGCCCUCGCACCCCUGCAGACGCAGGGCAUGAAGAUCCUGCCGUAUCUGGACGACUGGCUGGUCUGUGCGCCCUCCAGGUCCCAGGUGGCCCAGGACACGGCCCGCCUGCUGUCGCACGUCGCCCGGCUGGGCUUGACGGUGAAUCAAACAAAGAGUUGCCUGGACCCUUCCCAACGGGUUACCUAUCUGGGGUUGGUCCUGGACUCGGUCGCCAUGAAGGCCUACCUUUCACCUCGACGGGUGAACGACAUCCUCCGCCUCCUUCCUCUCUUCAGAGCCGGCAGGAGGCUGCUUUUUAUUCUUUUUCUUCAGCUUCUGGGCAAGCUGGCAGCUGCUUCAGCUGUGGUGCCUCUGGGUUUACUGUCCCUGCGCCCACUCCAAAUGUGGCUGAACAGCCUGCACCUAGAUGCCAAGUGGCACAGGCAGAGGAGGGUCAAGGUGACCCUGCAG